UGGGGAAUAUUGGACAAUGGGGGCAACCCUGAUCCAGCCAUGCCGCGUGUGUGAAGAAGGCCUUUUGGUUGUAAAGCACUUUAAGCAGGGAGGAGAGGCUAAUGGUUAAUACCCAUUAGAUUAGACGUUACCUGCAGAAUAAGCACCGGCUAACUCUGUGCCAGCAGCCGCGGUAAUACAGAGGGUGCGAGCGUUAAUCGGAAUUACUGGGCGUAAAGCGAGUGUAGGUGGCUCAUUAAGUCACAUGUGAAAUCCCCGGGCUUAACCUGGGAACUGCAUGUGAUACUGGUGGUGCUAGAAUAUGUGAGAGGGAAGUAGAAUUCCCAGGUGUAGCGGUGAAAUGCGUAGAGAUCUGGAGGAAUACCGAUGGCGAAGGCAGCUUCCUGGCAUAAUAUUGACACUGAGAUUCGAAAGCGUGGGUAGCAAACAGGAUUAGAUACCCUGGUAGUCCACGCCGUGAACGAUGUCUACUAGCCGUUGGGGUCCUUGAGACUUUAGUGGCGCAGUUAACGCGAUAAGUAGACCGCCUGGGGAGUACGG
This 540-nucleotide ribosomal RNA is filed under the name uncultured bacterium. RNAcentral's name for it is "partial 16S ribosomal RNA". It matches the Rfam family "Bacterial small subunit ribosomal RNA", at positions 355 to 885 of the family's 1533-position model. The record is from RNAcentral.